GGCUUGUGAGGGCGAUCUGGCUGCGACAUCUGUCACCCCAUUGAUCCCCAGGGUUGCUUUGGCUGAUCUGGCUGGCUAGGUGGGUGUCCCCAUCCUCCCUCCACGCUCCAGGUCCAUCACUCCUGAAGCUGUGCGCUCAGUUGAAAAGGACGAUCUUCCCAAAAGAGGAGGUCUGGUCUUCAGUCAAAGGUAUACGAGUAGCUGCACUCCCCUGCUUGAACCUCCAAACAAACUCUCAAGAAAAGCCUUUUUAAAGUAAUAGUUUCAAUGAAAAAUAAGGAAUUAAUCUGAUGUGAACUGUAUUUUGUCAUU
Molecule: small nuclear RNA, 312 nt
Filed under: Nannospalax galili (Upper Galilee mountains blind mole rat)
Lineage: Eukaryota; Metazoa; Chordata; Mammalia; Rodentia; Spalacidae
Description: 7SK RNA (ENSNGAG00000004557.1)
Rfam family: 7SK RNA
About the family: 7SK was discovered as an abundant small nuclear RNA in the mid-70s but a possible function has only recently been suggested.
Source: Rfam by way of RNAcentral